GGCGGAUAGAAGAUAUUCAUCGAGGCGGCUAAUGUUCCUUUCGCUGGUUGCCAACCACCAUUAAAUAACAACAAGAAGAAAAUAUUGAUCUGCUUUUCUUAGUUUUGCACGUUUAAGACGCAAUUCAGACUCAAACAAAGCUGCAAAGCAGGAGAACAACAUGGCCAUCAACUAUUCUGUGCCACAGAUCCAGUUCGCUGCAGUACAGAGUGAUGAUGAGAUGGUGGAAGAACAACAAAGACAAUUUACGGACCGUUAACAUGUGCAAUUUAGAAGUAGUCAGAGGUAACUGGAUGGAGUUCAGUCACGUUAAAUGCACGGUUGAUUGGAUUAUAUCUGAAGAUCGUAUGCUAUUCGUGACAACUCUACUAGACUCCUAAUUUCUCGUCCAUGAGGGAGUAUCUCAAAAGUAAAUGAAACAUCUAAACUUAACACUUUUUCCCUAAAACGGACUGACAUGGGAAACAUUAAAGUUGGAUUGACACCAGCUAAUCAGUCUGAAGGAAUCACAGAACAAGAAGGGAGACCACUGAGGAGGAAUUUUAUAAGUUCACUGGUGACCUCAGCUGUCAAGUUCCUGGAUGUGGGUAUGCUGCACAAAACUUUACAACUCUGUGCCCAUCUCAGAUUUCACAUCAAAGAGAGGAAAAAAGUAUUAUGUCCAUUUGAAGAUUGCUCUAAAUACUUCAGUGUCCGAACAUCAUUUUCCAGCCGUAUUUCUCGAAAACAUAAGUAGACAGUUCAGUAGUGAUGGCCAAAUGAAACUUUCUGAAGCACUGAAGCUUGUACUGAAAAACGGUUCAUUACUCGAAGCUUUUCAACACAGUCCUCUCCGGUGACAUCUGGUGGCGAAAAUUAUGAAGAGCAGCUUGAAUCUGCAAAAUUAAACGGACUGCUUAAUUAUCACUGCUCACUCCACAGAGUGGAGUUCUCUCUGAUAUUGGGCCACCGUUGCGUUGCUUUGAACAUGUAAUUGUUAUUUUUUUCCUCGAUUGGGGGGCUGAAAAAUUUGUAAUGCUCAUUUGCUUAAUACAUUUUGAUCAAUAAACUUUCCUUAUGAAACAUGCACCAUGGUGUGGCCUUUCUUUGCUUAUGACUCCUUGAUGUUGGUAAAUACACUAAGUGAGCAAUAUAUAUAAUAUACAUAUGAUAAUGUACAGCACACCAUGGAGUAUGCUCCUGCUGUGAAGUCCUGCCUCCAUCUACUUGUGCAUUUAAUCACUGGACAGCUGGACAGGUAUGUUCAUACAAACUAUUAGAUUAUGCCAAUUGUCCUAUACAUAUUUUUGACCUAGGGGUAGGAUUGAUUGUGAACUGGAAAGGGAAAAUGCUUAGGGGGCUGAGUACGGCUGGGUAUCGUCACUGAUUUGUAGAAUCAUUUUGAUUCAAUACAGGAUCCGAUUCAAUUUGAUUGGAAUCUUGAAGGUUUUGCCUCAGACAGUCAGAAAUAUUACAAUUCUGAUCAUUUAUCAGUAUAAAUCCAUAUUUUUGUAUCUAUUAAAAGAAAGCUGACACUUGUGAGACUUAAUUAGAGAUGUAAACAGAGAGUUAUGAAACCUGCAGCUUCAGAAGCCAGCAGGAAAAAAAAAGGUAAACAGUGCGAACCCGCCGACACAUCAAAAUUUGAUUCUGACGCGUCGGGUCCGCGCUCUGUGUUUACGUUUGUAUGUUUUAGCUGUUUGGUGUUUGACGACAUUUUGUGAGGUUUAACCUGAGAUGCUGGCAUUUCACGCAAAAUAACAUUUAAUUUA
This is a long non-coding RNA of Oreochromis niloticus (Nile tilapia), 1751 nucleotides long. The record is from Ensembl. Lineage: Eukaryota; Metazoa; Chordata; Actinopteri; Cichliformes; Cichlidae.